Molecule: unclassified non-coding RNA, 315 nt
Filed under: plant metagenome
Description: partial contains 5.8S ribosomal RNA, internal transcribed spacer 2, and large subunit ribosomal RNA
Rfam family: 5.8S ribosomal RNA (bases 1-105)
Source: RNAcentral
GAACUGCGAUAAGUAAUGUGAAUUGCAGAAUUCAGUGAAUCAUCGAGUCUUUGAACGCACAUUGCGCCCCCUGGCAUUCCGGGGGGCAUGGCUGUCCGAGCGUCAUUGCUGCCCUUCAAGCCCGGCUUGUGUGUUGGGUCGUCGUCCCCUCCGGGGGACGGGCCCGAAAGGCAGCGGCGGCACCGCGUCCGGUCCUCGAGCGUAUGGGGCUUUGUCACCCGCUCGAUAAGGACCGGCCGGGCGCCAGCCGGCGUCUCCAACCUUUUUUUCUCAGGUUGACCUCGGAUCAGGUAGGGAUACCCGCUGAACUUAAGC